GAUGAACGCUAGCUACAGGCUUAACACAUGCAAGUCGAGGGGCAGCAUGACCUAGCAAUCGGUUGAUGGCGACCGGCGCACGGGUGAGUAACACGUAUCCAACCUGCCGAUUAUUCCGGGAUAGCCUUUCGAAAGAAAGAUUAAUACUGGAUAGCAUAACGAGAAGGCAUCUUCUUGUUAUUAAAGAAUUUCGCUAAUCGAUGGGGGUGCGUUCCAUUAGUUUGUUGGCGGGGUAACGGCCCACCAAGACAUCGAUGGAUAGGGGUUCUGAGAGGAGGGCCCCCACAUUGGAACUGCGACACGGUCCACACUCCUACGGGACGCAGCAGUGAGGAAUAUUGGUCAAUGGACGAGAGUCUGAACCAGCCAAGUAGCGUGAAGGAUGCCUGCCCUAUGGGUUGUAAACUUCUUUUAUAUGGGAAUAAAGUGGGCCACGUGUGGCUUUUUGUAUGUACCAUAAGAAUAAGGAUCGGCUAACUCCGUG
RNAcentral lists this ribosomal RNA (484 nucleotides) under uncultured bacterium. Its description in RNAcentral is "partial 16S ribosomal RNA". It matches the Rfam family "Bacterial small subunit ribosomal RNA", at positions 28 to 507 of the family's 1533-position model. The record is from RNAcentral.